GGCACCGUUUAAGUCAUAUUUCUGAUUAUGACCAACCUUCAUUUAAGUCUUUAGAAACAAUUUUAUAUGCUUCCUUUCACGUUUGUUUUAACAACUGGAAUUUUCAUUGCAGCCAUGCUGUUCUCAACCAUUCACACACUUUGUGCCUCAUUUAAUAUGCUUGUUUCUUAACCGGUUGCAAAGGAGGGUGAUGAGAAAUGGAAGCCUAUGACUGAUGAAGCCACUCUAAUAAGGGUUCAUGUUGUUCAAAACUUCAAAUCCAAUUGAGGCAAUCCAUGAACCAUUAGAAGCUGGGCUGAAACUUGCUCGAUAAGAGAUUGCUAAUCUGUAGGAUGAUAAUAAAGCAUUAGAUCGACUGAUAGUGUGAAACCAAUUGAUGUCUAUUAAUUAUAGACUGUUUUGAUCAGGAAAACAAUUUUCGUUAGGGUUUCAAAGUAGUAGUAACCAGCAAGAGAGAGGUUAUAUGGUAAGGUAGUUGGGCGACAAGAAGGGUUACGAGAGGUUUGACUGUCAUGACACAAUGGUCAAUUGUCACAUUGAAGGUUGAACUGGGUAUCUGCUAAGCAAAACUAACUGUUAAGCCUGUGGCGUAAGCUAGAAUUGGCACUGUGGCUUCUGGAGUUACAAAGGGUAAUGCUUAUACAUACAGAUUGAUUUAAUUGUUAUCAAAUGAGAUGGCACUCUAUAUGUUGGUAAACUGUGAAGAAACGAGAAUUAAGAGAUUUCCUAUACACGACGGGAAUUCGAUCGAUAUUGGUUUGGUCCGUUAGCAAACCGAAAGAAGAAACCAAAAAAUAAAGUUUUGAGAUGCCUCAAAAAGAUAUUGAUACGUGUUUACAUCGAUCACAAAGUAUAACAAAGGCCAACACCUGUUAUGAUAAUAUCGAUACUUGUACCGACGUCGUUCGGUCGACACUCGGUACAACUUACUUCAUUGUAAUUUAAUUUUUAUAUAAGUAAUAGAACGUUUCUUAUAUUUCAAAGUUUAUGCCAACACUGUUGAAUGAAACGUUUCUAAUAUAUAUGGUGUGUAUAUCAUGUAAAAUAAAGGUUAUGUAUAUACUUUAUUAUUUAUGUUCUGCUACUUCGAUUUCGUUAGUGAAAUGGGUUUUUUUAUUAAGUUUUGAAGUUUUUUU
RNAcentral lists this long non-coding RNA (1136 nucleotides) under Helianthus annuus (common sunflower). RNAcentral's name for it is "hypothetical non coding rna". Lineage: Eukaryota; Viridiplantae; Streptophyta; Magnoliopsida; Asterales; Asteraceae. The record is from RNAcentral.